AUUUAUAUAGUUUAAAAAAAACACUAUAUUUUCAUUAUAGAGUUAGAAUCUUCUUAUAAAUA
This 62-nucleotide transfer RNA is filed under the name Curculionidae sp. 1 AH-2016. Its description in RNAcentral is "tRNA-Glu". The record is from RNAcentral. Lineage: Eukaryota; Metazoa; Arthropoda; Insecta; Coleoptera; Curculionidae.